RNAcentral lists this ribosomal RNA (233 nucleotides) under uncultured bacterium. RNAcentral describes it as "partial 16S ribosomal RNA". It matches the Rfam family "Bacterial small subunit ribosomal RNA", at positions 15 to 236 of the family's 1533-position model. The record is from RNAcentral.
GAUCCUGGCUCAGGAUGAACGCUAGCUACAGGCUUAACACAUGCAAGUCGAGGGGAAACGACAUCGAAAGCUUGCUUCCGAUGGGCGUCGACCGGCGCACGGGUGAGUAACGCGUAUCCAACCUGCCCACCGACUUGGGGAUAACCUUGCGAAAGUAAGACUAAUACCCAAUGAUAUCUCUAGAAGACAUCUGAAAGAGAUUAAAGAUUUAUCGGUGAUGGAUGGGGAUGCGU